UGACGGUACCUGGAGAAAAAGCAACGGCUAACUACGUGCCAGCAGCCGCGGUAAUACGUAGGUUGCAAGCGUUGUCCGGAUUUACUGGGUGUAAAGGGCGUGUAGGCGGAGCUGCAAGUCAGAUGUGAAAUCCCGGGGCUUAACCCCGGAACUGCAUUUGAAACUGUAGCCCUUGAGUAUCGGAGAGGCAAGCGGAAUUCCUAGUGUAGCGGUGAAAUGCGUAGAUAUUAGGAGGAACACCAGUGGCGAAGGCGGCUUGCUGGACGACAACUGACGCUGAGGCGCGAAAGCGUGGGGAGCAAACAGGAUUAGAUACCCUG
Molecule: ribosomal RNA, 320 nt
Filed under: uncultured bacterium
Lineage: Bacteria
Description: bacterial SSU rRNA
Rfam family: Bacterial small subunit ribosomal RNA
Source: RNAcentral